Long non-coding RNA from Microplitis mediator, 607 nucleotides. RefSeq lists it as uncharacterized. The record is from RefSeq and is a predicted model, not a curated record. Lineage: Eukaryota; Metazoa; Arthropoda; Insecta; Hymenoptera; Braconidae. The transcript is spliced from 2 exons.
GCGCUGAGUGAUGUUUAGUAAGUGCUCUUAUUCUCAUUUACUUACAAAACGAGGUGUUAAUACGAUAUUAAAGAGUAAAAUAGUUACAAUUUGGCUCAUGUAUUAAAUCAAAUACAAAUGGAGUUUAUAGCUCUAAAUUUAAUCGAAAACACUGGAUUAAAUGUGACUUUAACGUCCAGUCAUUUAACAGCAAUUUGUUAUCCAAAAUAAUUCUGCUCAAAACUCGAUUUGCCUCUACUGUUCGUCAGGUAGUGUAGGGUAGAGUUGAGUAGUAGAGCUCAUGGGCAUAUAAUUCCGUAAUUAUAAUUAUCCAAAGUGUAAUUUCUAGCUCUACCCAAAUGUCCUUUUAAAUGCCCAGUACUUAGAUAUAUAAGACUGAGCUUGGCAACUGUCGGUUCAGAUCAUUUGUCACAUUUUUUUUUACUCAUUCAUUCGCAUAAUCAUAACUUUAAAUUAUUGUAUUUGCAUAAUUUUGUACCGUGUACUUAUUUAUAUAUUUUUGCAUUAUUAUACUAACUAUCUUUCCUUUCUUAUAUUCUUUUAACUCUAUUAUUAUUAUCAUUUUCGUGAUAUUUUUUUAAUGCCCGUGAUUAUUUUAUUUUGUAAU